Long non-coding RNA from Lynx canadensis (Canada lynx), 1372 nucleotides. RefSeq lists it as uncharacterized. The record is from RefSeq and is a predicted model, not a curated record. NCBI's taxonomy places the organism in Eukaryota, Metazoa, Chordata, Mammalia, Carnivora, Felidae. The transcript has 4 exons.
ACUAUGAGGCCAGACAUCUUUUCAUAGUUUAUCAGCCAUUUGUAUUUCUCUUUUCAUUACAUUUUGAGAAGCAAAAUUUUAAACAAUUUUUCAUUCAGUCUAAGCAAUACCAAAUAUCUUGAUGAUAGAUUAACAAAAAAGUUUUAGAUAUUUUUUCCUGGAGUCCUUCUCCUUUAUUUAGAUGACAAGCCAUAGAAUUUUAAGGUUGAAGGGUACCUUAAUGUUUGACACAUACCUGUGUAGCUUUGGUAACUUGCUGGGUUUUUCUGCUCUGAAUGGACAUGCACAUAUGGGCACUAAAUUAAUGGAGAAAUGUGAAAUGAAUGACUAAUAAGACCUUUUUCUGACCUCACUGAGAACUAAAAUGUUGAGUUGUCAGGUUAUUUGUGGCUACAAAAAUAAUACUGGCAAAUAGUCUGGGGCUAUCAAAUUCAGUUCCGUCUGUAAUUGAAUUAGAGACCCACAUCCUUUUCUCCAAGGAGAUUGGUGUACCAAACCCUGCCUUUGACAGUGUUUAGUAUUACACAAGAUUUCAGCCAAUGAACAAAGUUUCUAUUUAUGGAAAAUGUCAAGGGUGAUAAGCAUGAAAGAGUAGUAAUAUCAUUAUUUUCUAUCUAACUUAAUAAUUGGAUAUGAACAGUGAGAAAAUUUCUGCCAAACAAAUACAAAUGUUCUGUCCUAAGAAAUUGAGUUAAAGUUUCAAAGGUUUGUGGAAUCCUAAAAAUCCAAAACCAAUGCAAAACAAACACUUCAGAUGGGGGCAAUUGUAGGUAGAAAGUCCCAUGGAAAUGUGCACAGGUUUUAUGUCAAAAAGAAAAGCAUUCUUGAACAGCUAGUCCUCCCCUGCAUGGGGCUGGUGUAUUUUUGAGAAUUUGCAUAUCGUCACUUCCAAAAGGAAUAUUUUGUGGUCUCUUCCAGUUGCUUCCAUCCCUGCAUGCUCACGUGCACAUGCGCACACCUGUUCCAGGAUUGUAGUUCCUGGACUCUGAAUUCCUCAGCGUCACAGAGUUUGCAUGUCCCAUCUACAACCCUGAGUCUGGCAUAGCCCAGUUGCUCACCAAAUGUGCAUGAUGGAAUGAAAAAACAAACCUGCCAAAGCAUACCAGAAUAAAGGGUUCAGGCCCCAGAAGUUACAUUCUUGGAGAAGAAUUUGAAUCCUCAGGACUAAGAAAAUAAAAUCAGGCCCAGGUUGUUGUGUUCUUGAAGUCAUUCUUUGGUUUAUUUGGCAUAAUGAAAUCUAUAACGUCUCGUCUUUAAAUAACUAACUUCACUGAAACCCUUGUCAGCUUUAAUAGGAUUCAGAUCAGAAGAUUUUGAGCAAAAACAGUGCAAGCUACAGACAUGUGUGCAUUUUGCUAAAAGGACAGCCUCC